ACAAAUCAUUUGUGCGGGAAGGCAACUUCCUUGCAUAUAAACCCGAACCCGCGCAGCAAUGCCGGGCUAGGUGUGCAUUGCAGCUCACGCUGCGGUGUACGGCCGAGAUUUGAGGGUACGCAAGUGCUGUCAGUCAAAGCCACAUAGACGCUUGUAUGUUUUGACAGAGUUAGUUGACAUCUUUAAAAUGA
RNAcentral lists this unclassified non-coding RNA (191 nucleotides) under uncultured Rozellomycota. RNAcentral describes it as "uncultured Cryptomycota sequence contains ITS1". Lineage: Eukaryota; Fungi; Rozellomycota. The record is from RNAcentral.